RNAcentral lists this ribosomal RNA (550 nucleotides) under uncultured bacterium. Its description in RNAcentral is "bacterial SSU rRNA". It matches the Rfam family "Bacterial small subunit ribosomal RNA", at positions 355 to 896 of the family's 1533-position model. The record is from RNAcentral.
UAGGGAAUCUUCCGCAAUGNGGCGAAAGCCUGACGGAGCAACGCCGCGUGAGUGAUGAAGGUCUUCGGAUCGUAAAACUCUGUUAUCAGGGAAGAACAAAUGUGUAAGUAACUGUGCACAUCUUGACGGUACCUGAUCAGAAAGCCACGGCUAACUACGUGCCAGCAGCCGCGGUAAUACGUAGGUGGCAAGCGUUAUCCGGAAUUAUUGGGCGUAAAGCGCGCGUAGGCGGUUUUUAAGUCUGAUGUGAAAGCCCACGGCUCAACCGUGGAGGGUCAUUGGAAACUGGAAAACUUGGGUGCAGAAGAGGAAAGUGGAAUUCCAUGUGUAGCGGUGAAAUGCGCAGAGAUAUGGAGGAACACCAGUGGCGAAGGCGACUUUCUGGUCUGUAACUGACGCUGAUGUGCGAAAGCGUGGGGAUCAAACAGGAUUAGAUACCCUGGUAGUCCACGCCGUAAACGAUGAGUGCUAAGUGUUAGGGGGUUUCCGCCCCUUAGUGCUGCAGCUAACGCAUUAAGCACUCCGCCUGGGGAGUACGACCGCAAGGUUG